RNAcentral lists this RNase P RNA (423 nucleotides) under Sulfuricurvum sp. Its description in RNAcentral is "RNase P RNA component class A". It matches the Rfam family "Bacterial RNase P class A". Rfam says of the family: Ribonuclease P (RNase P) is a ubiquitous endoribonuclease, found in archaea, bacteria and eukarya as well as chloroplasts and mitochondria. Its best characterised activity is the generation of mature 5'-ends of tRNAs by cleaving the 5'-leader elements of precursor-tRNAs. The record is from RNAcentral. Lineage: Bacteria; Pseudomonadati; Campylobacterota; Epsilonproteobacteria; Campylobacterales; Sulfurimonadaceae.
UAGGUACAACAGGCGAUAGCUUGAAUAUGUAUUCAAGAGGUAAAGUCCGGGCUGCCGUAGGACACGGUUCCAUCUAACGGAUGGCCACGGUAACGUGAGGGAUAGUGCAACAGAGAGUAGACCGCCUCAUAUACGAAAACGUUGGAAACGUUUUUGUGCUUUAGUGCCAUAGCGGCUAGCGUAGGAGUCGGGGACUUUGUUCGCGGCUCCGUUUCAUAAAGUAUAUGAGGUGAGGGUGAAACGGCGGGGUAAGAGCCCACCAGUCUCUUAGGCAACUAGGGGAGCUAUGUAAACCCAACCGCGCAGCAAGAAACAGAUGGUUAGCGUCCUACAUCGCUAUUGUUUCGCUAGAGGUCUAGAGUGAUCUAGGCAGUAGAUUAAUUAUCGCUUCAUCCAGAACCCGGCUUACGUUGUGCCUAUUUU